Molecule: ribosomal RNA, 301 nt
Filed under: uncultured bacterium
Lineage: Bacteria
Description: partial 16S ribosomal RNA
Rfam family: Bacterial small subunit ribosomal RNA
Source: RNAcentral
CAGUCGCCACGGUAAUACAGAGGGUGCGAGCGUUAAUCGGAUUUACUGGGCGUAAAGCGUGCGUAGGCGGCUUUUUAAGUAGGAUGUGAAAUCCCUGAGCUUAACUUAGGAAUUGCAUUCGAUACUGGGAAGCUAGAGUAUGGGAGAGGAUGGUAGAAUUCCAGGUGUAGCGGUGAAAUGCGUAGAGAUCUGGAGGAAUACCGAUGGCGAAGGCAGCCAUCUGGCCUAAUACUGACGCUGAGGUACGAAAGCAUGGGGAGCAAACAGGAUUAGAUACCCCGGUAGUCCCUGUCUCUUAUAC